Molecule: non-coding RNA, 1127 nt
Organism: Biomphalaria pfeifferi
Lineage: Eukaryota; Metazoa; Mollusca; Gastropoda; Planorbidae
Source: the annotation of a GenBank genome assembly
UCAACUCAAAUGUUUUUUUUUUUUUGUCUUGAGUAAAAGAGUUGAAUAACUAGACGCACAUAAACAUUUAGCGUUCUCUCUCUUAUGUAGACAUCAUUGGCUGGACUGUUCAUAGAAGAAGUUGAUGGUGCAAAACUCAUUAGAAAGACUCAUUGAAUUAGAAGAACUACUAAAAUGAGAAAUUGAAUAUUACUAUUAGCUUCAUAAAACAGAAGUUGUUUUUUUUUAAUACCUCUGUUAUGUUACUUGUUUACAUCUAUAUAUGUCGCAAAAUAUGUAGGUCAUAGCUGGAGCUGCGUAGCCACGGGAACUACUGCACCCCUAAUUAAUCUUCGAACUCGAAGACAAGCCUUAUUAUUAUUACAGCUCUGGCGUGAUUUUUUUAAUUCUUACUUUGUUUGUCAAAAUAUACUAUGAAAAGCACAUUGUAUUAUGUGUAUAUACUUAAUAGUGUAUUGUGAUCAUAUUGUGAUUGUUCAGCUUAAGUUAAGCUCAUACUGGGCGACUUUGAAUGUUUGAGGUCUGAAACUGGUGCCUUCAGUAUAUAGUUUGAUAAAAUGGCGCCCUUGUUUAUGAAAACCGGUUGUCAGGAUGUGACGUAACAAAAAAGAGCUUUAGUUUCUACUCUUGCUCAUAAUAAAGUCGUCUUUCUAGUGGUUUACUUUGUUGUAUUUCUCUGUAGAUACGAAGCAUACAGGACGUAUAUUUUUUUUCCUGAUUCUGACAUUAAAACCAAAUACCAUUGUAUUAUUUCCAUUACUUCUUUACGCGGCCGAAAUAUCUUUUAGAAUGUUUGAAAUUUAGUUGUUUUUUUUUUGUUUUUUUUUUAAAUUAACAAAAUUUGCUGAGAUGUUUCUAUUAGAUCUUCAUUCUAUCAGCAUUUUACUGAUGAAUGGAAUAUCUUGUGUCUUUGUACGUUACAUUUAAGAGAAUAAAAUUGUAAUUGAAGAUGUUCAGCUUUCAGACACUCGAAUAAUGCAAUUUCUACAGAUGUAAUUUUUUUCUAGCAGAAUCUGCUACCAAUUGUGAUUCUUGUAAUUGAUAAAAAUAAUGAGGUAAAUAAAUGUACCACAUGUGAAAUUAAAAGCUUUUUUAAAGGUUUUCAAAAAAAAAAAAAAAAAAAAAAA